This is a long non-coding RNA of Vigna unguiculata (cowpea), 487 nucleotides long. RefSeq lists it as uncharacterized. The record is from RefSeq and is a predicted model, not a curated record. NCBI's taxonomy places the organism in Eukaryota, Viridiplantae, Streptophyta, Magnoliopsida, Fabales, Fabaceae.
GUAAUACCCUUCUUUUUCCGGUUCUUCCCUUAAACAGAAACCCAACACCCCUCUCUCAGUUUCUUUGCAAUUCAACUCUCUUCCCAUCUGUCUUUCUCUCAAACCUUGCUGCCAUCUCACAACCUCUUGGUUCUUGAUCAGAUUCUGGACAAAUAACCACAACUGAGCCUCCUGCUGCCUCCACUCUUAGCCUCCCUUCCUCUAGGUUAAGCUAAGGAAUUAUGCUCCUCCUCUCUUAAGUUGCCUUCACUCAAGUAUUCACCCAAAAAUAGAUAAAGGUGCAGGUGAGGAUACACCCCUCUUGGACAGGAGUUGAGUGGUGUUUGGACGCUUCCAACAGUAGUUGUCACCCUUUUAUUUUUUUUUUCGCUUAGAUGUUUUGGGUGUUUUGUAACCCUUUAUGCUUUGUAUGGGCUGUAUGUAUUAGACAAUAUAUGUAUAGUUAUUUUGAGGAUGACUGUAUUGUACUUUAUACUGACCUAUUAGU